Molecule: ribosomal RNA, 356 nt
Filed under: uncultured bacterium
Lineage: Bacteria
Description: bacterial SSU rRNA
Rfam family: Bacterial small subunit ribosomal RNA
Source: RNAcentral
UUUUGUAGCAAUACAGAAGAAGCGAUAGCGGCAGACGGGUGAGUAACACGUAACCAAUCUACCUUACCGUCCGGGAUAACUAGCCGAAAGGUUAGCUAAUACCUGAUACGCCUAUCGAACGGCAUCGUUUGAUAGUGAAAGCAGCAAUGCGCGGUUUGAGGAGGUUGCGGCCCGUUAGCCAGUUGGCGGGGUAACGGCCCACCAAAGCAACGAUGGGUAGCUGGUCUGAGAGGACGACCAGCCACACUGGGACUGAGACACGGCCCAGACUCCUACGGGAGGCAGCAGUGAGGAAUUUUCCGCAAUGGGCGAAAGCCUGACGGAGCGACGCCGCGUGCACGAGGAAGGUCUUCGGA